GUCAGUUCCUGCGCUCUUCGAGAGGGCUGGCUCUGAUAUUUGAGCCGGUCUCUCCCGCUCGGAGGAGAACGGCGAAGUGCUGAAUGGGACAGAAGUCGCGCCGGGCACCUGCUUGCACCCGACGGCGGCCCCGCCGCUGCCCUGCGCCCGAGCGAUCCCCGCGCCGGGCAAGGUGGUAGCAGACCAUGGUUUGGCUCUGAGUUCAGGCAGAUUAUGGUGCCUUUUUCCAGCAAAUGCUAAGAACUGUGCUCCUUCUACACUGGGCUCCCCAUGGCAGCCCAAGGAAGCAAUUUCCAUAGCUGCCCAAGCACCUGCAUCUGCAAUAUGGAAACAGUGCUUUGCUUCUCUCGUUUGCAUGGAAUGAACGAGCUGCAAACACUUCACACGUGUAUAUAUCGUGUAUCUGAAAAUGUUCAUCGUAAUCAGUUAUCUCGGAUUCUUAGAAGGUUUUUCAGGUGAAAAUAUACAAAGUCUGAAGUGCUGCUGGAUCCAAUGUAGAAUUCAGAACUUCUGGGGUAUUGAUUGAAUCCAGUCUAGAGACAGAAAACAUUACUUUC
This 557-nucleotide long non-coding RNA is filed under the name Gallus gallus (chicken). Lineage: Eukaryota; Metazoa; Chordata; Aves; Galliformes; Phasianidae. The record is from RNAcentral.